AUUGAACGCUGGCGGCAUGCCUUACACAUGCAGGUCGAACGGCAGCACGGGUGCUUGCACCUGGUGGCGAGUGGCGAACGGGUGAGUAAUACAUCGGAACGUACCUUAUCGUGGGGGAUAACGCAGCGAAAGCUGUGCUAAUACCGCAUACGCCCUGAGGGGGAAAGCGGGGGAUCGAAAGACCUCGCGCGAUUAGAGCGGCCGAUGCCUGAUUAGCUUGUUGGUGGGGUAAAAGCCCACCAAGGCGACGAUCAGUAGCUGGUCUGAGAGGACGAUCAGCCACACUGGGACUGAGACACGGCCCAGACUCCUACGGGAGGCAGCAGUGGGGAAUUUUGGACAAUGGGGGCAACCCUGAUCCAGCAAUGCCGCGUGAGUGAAGAAGGCCUUCGGGCUGUAAAGCUCUUUUGUCAGGGAAGAAACACCGGCUCUAACACAGUCCGGGAAUGACGGUACCUGAAGAAUAAGCACCGGCUAACUACGUGCCAGCAGCCGCCGUAA
RNAcentral lists this ribosomal RNA (501 nucleotides) under uncultured bacterium. Its description in RNAcentral is "partial 16S ribosomal RNA". It matches the Rfam family "Bacterial small subunit ribosomal RNA", at positions 29 to 523 of the family's 1533-position model. The record is from RNAcentral.